UCGAGAGGUAGUAUAACUAAUUACAUGACGCUUACAACGUUAAAAUAAGAGACUACUCUUCCUCUUGAG
Molecule: transfer RNA, 69 nt
Filed under: Magallana gigas (Pacific oyster)
Lineage: Eukaryota; Metazoa; Mollusca; Bivalvia; Ostreida; Ostreidae
Also listed under: 1 other name
Description: Crassostrea gigas (Pacific oyster) tRNA-Val
Source: RNAcentral